This 252-nucleotide ribosomal RNA is filed under the name uncultured bacterium. RNAcentral describes it as "partial 16S ribosomal RNA". It matches the Rfam family "Bacterial small subunit ribosomal RNA", at positions 525 to 776 of the family's 1533-position model. The record is from RNAcentral.
ACGGAGGGGGCCAGCGUUGUUCGGAAUUACUGGGCGUAAAGGGCGCGUAGGCGGCUGCGCAAGUCGAACGUGAAAUCCCUCGGCUCAACCGGGGAACUGCGUCCGAUACUGCGUGGCUUGAGUCCCGGAGAGGGUAGCGGAAUUCCCAGUGUAGCGGUGAAAUGCGUAGAUAUUGGGAGGAACACCAGUGGCGAAGGCGGCUACCUGGACGGGUACUGACGCUGAGGCGCGAAAGCUAGGGGAGCAAACAGG